RNAcentral lists this ribosomal RNA (344 nucleotides) under Helicobacter pylori. RNAcentral's name for it is "bacterial SSU rRNA". It matches the Rfam family "Bacterial small subunit ribosomal RNA", at positions 1 to 355 of the family's 1533-position model. Lineage: Bacteria; Pseudomonadati; Campylobacterota; Epsilonproteobacteria; Campylobacterales; Helicobacteraceae. The record is from RNAcentral.
UUUUAUGGAGAGUUUGAUCCUGGCUCAGAGUGAACGCUGGCGGCGUGCCUAAUACAUGCAAGUCGAACGAUGAAGCUUCUAGCUUGCUAGAAGUGGAUUAGUGGCGCACGGGUGAGUAACGCAUAGGUCAUGUGCCUCUUAGUUUGGGAUAGCCAUUGGAAACGAUGAUUAAUACCAGAUACUCCCUACGGGGGAAAGAUUUAUCGCUAAGAGAUCAGCCUAUGUCCUAUCAGCUUGUUGGUAAGGUAAUGGCUUACCAAGGCUAUGACGGGUAUCCGGCCUGAGAGGGUGAACGGACACACUGGAACUGAGACACGGUCCAGACUCCUACGGGAGGCAGCAGU